CAGGUCCCCAAGUUUCUCACAUCUAUCGCGACAUCCGUUGUGGGUCCCAUACCCGUUGUGACAUCACCUGUGGGUCCUCACUUACUGUGACACUCCUGUGGGUCCCACAGCCAUGGUAACAUCCCUGUAGGUCCCACAAGUGUUGAGACAUCCCCAUGGGUGACAGGAUCCAGCAUCCCAUUCCCGAAUUCUCCAGAAUUCUAGGUUCAAUUUCACAAUCCAUUCCACUCUGGCCAGGUGUGGUAAAUGGUCAGGGUUUAAUGUUCACCCCCUACACCUCCCUCCUUCCUUCCCUCCUAAACAUCCCAGGCUAAAGGGGAAACCCAUCUCCUCUCUUCCCUCUGUGCUGGCUUCUGCUGACAUCAUAACAUACCUUCAUGAGGUACUAGGGGUUGUCCCACAUCAAGAGGGGUGUCCCACAUCAAGGAGGGUCCCUGAGCCACUUCCCAGCAAGGGCUGGGGUCUGUGGGGUCUCCCCUGUGUGUAGCUGUUCGGAGCCAGGGCAGAGCAGCUCUGGUGUCACACAGCAGGGAAAGGAGAAGGAAAUGUCCCUUUUGGAAGUGAGCAAGGAAGAGAGGAAAACAGAAUUCCUAUGCACAGAUGGCAGCUUUCAAAUGCAGCCUGGUCUGGUUUCAGAGAGCAGAAAGAACGACCUCUAAUGCACUGUUCAUUUGCUGCAGGGCAGGUUCCAGACUUUGAGAGAACAGCAGAAGAGGACACUUGAAUAAAAUUCUGAGUGCAGG
Corapipo altera (White-ruffed manakin) is the source of this 743-nucleotide long non-coding RNA. RefSeq lists it as uncharacterized. The transcript is spliced from 3 exons. The record is from RefSeq and is a predicted model, not a curated record. NCBI's taxonomy places the organism in Eukaryota, Metazoa, Chordata, Aves, Passeriformes, Pipridae.